GUAUCGUACCCCCGUCGGUAGAGCAAAGGACUGAAAAUCUUUGUGUCACUGGUUCGAUCCCAGUUGGUACCA
RNAcentral lists this transfer RNA (72 nucleotides) under Mucilaginibacter boryungensis. Its description in RNAcentral is "tRNA-Phe". It matches the Rfam family "tRNA". Rfam says of the family: Transfer RNA (tRNA) molecules are approximately 80 nucleotides in length. Their secondary structure includes four short double-helical elements and three loops (D, anti-codon, and T loops). Further hydrogen bonds mediate the characteristic L-shaped molecular structure. tRNAs have two regions of fundamental functional importance: the anti-codon, which is responsible for specific mRNA codon recognition, and the 3' end, to which the tRNAs corresponding amino acid is attached (by aminoacyl-tRNA synthetases). tRNAs cope with the degeneracy of the genetic code in two manners: having more than one tRNA (with a specific anti-codon) for a particular amino acid; and 'wobble' base-pairing, i.e. permitting non-standard base-pairing at the 3rd anti-codon position. Lineage: Bacteria; Pseudomonadati; Bacteroidota; Sphingobacteriia; Sphingobacteriales; Sphingobacteriaceae. The record is from RNAcentral.